UACCCAUCUAAGGUUGUUGGGAAUACUGAGCCGAUACUUGUAAAGUGUUCAAAAUGCCAGUGCUGUUUAUUGGUUCAGAGCUGGAGAAAACAAGAGUAGACCCAGAUGGAGGGACACAUCCAGGUUUUCCUUUCUCAUUUCGGCUUCUACUUCAGACAGGCUUUUUCCAUUGCCAAAGGCCACUUCAGUCUGAUGUCAUGUCAGUUUAAUGGUAUCAGAGGAAAAGAGAGCAGUGUUUCCCUGUUUCGGUGGAGCACUGCACUUAUAAAUCCUGAAGAAUGGCUCUGCCUUGGCUGAGCUUGGCCAUGAUCACCCGUAGUUUCUCGAGGUGCCAUGAUUGAGAUUGGAGCCACCUGCCUGGAGGAAGGACAGGCUGUUUUCCACAGGGGCGGGAUGUUCUUACCAGAAGGACAGAAGGCAGUUGAGUGACCAGGAUGACAGAUGCUGCCAUGCAAGGGUUGUGGGUGCACCUGGGUUGGCACCGUGUCUGAUCCGGGAGGAUUACAGGAUGAGCUUAUCAUGGAACAUAAGAAAAAUAAAACAGAUGUCAGCCUGUGUAUGAAGAAUUCAUCCACAAGAUUUGCUCACUCUUCAAU
Molecule: long non-coding RNA, 596 nt
Filed under: Homo sapiens (human)
Lineage: Eukaryota; Metazoa; Chordata; Mammalia; Primates; Hominidae
Description: novel transcript
Source: RNAcentral